AUGACGGUACUCAACAAGGAAGUGACGGCUAACUGCGUGCCAGCAGCCGCGGUAAAACGUAGGUCACAAGCGUUGUCCGGAAUUACUGGGUGUAAAGGGAGCGCAGGCGGGCGAUCAAGUUGGAAGUGAAAUCCAUGGGCUCAACCCAUGAACUGCUUUCAAAACUGGUCGUCUUGAGUAGUGCAGAGGUAGGCGGAAUUCCCGGUGUAGCGGUGGAAUGCGUAGAUAUCGGGAGGAACACCAGUGGCGAAGGCGGCCUACUGGGCACCAACUGACGCUGAGGCUCGAAAGUGUGGGUAGCAAACAGGA
RNAcentral lists this ribosomal RNA (309 nucleotides) under uncultured bacterium. RNAcentral describes it as "bacterial SSU rRNA". It matches the Rfam family "Bacterial small subunit ribosomal RNA", at positions 469 to 777 of the family's 1533-position model. The record is from RNAcentral.